RNAcentral lists this ribosomal RNA (402 nucleotides) under uncultured Alphaproteobacteria bacterium. RNAcentral describes it as "bacterial SSU rRNA". It matches the Rfam family "Bacterial small subunit ribosomal RNA", at positions 355 to 774 of the family's 1533-position model. The record is from RNAcentral. Lineage: Bacteria; Pseudomonadati; Pseudomonadota; Alphaproteobacteria.
UGGGGAAUAUUGGACAAUGGGCGAAAGCCUGAUCCAGCAAUGCCGCGUGAGUGAUGAAGGCCUUAGGGUUGUAAAGCUCUUUUACCCGGGAAGAUAAUGACUGUACCGGGAGAAUAAGCCCCGGCUAACUCCGUGCCAGCAGCCGCGGUAAUACGGAGGGGGCUAGCGUUAUUCGGAAUUACUGGGCGUAAAGCGUACGUAGGCGGUGGUUCAAGUCAGAGGUGAAAGCCCGGAGCUCAACUCCGGAACUGCCUUUGAAACUAGAUCGCUAGAACAUCGGAGAGGUAAGUGGAAUUCCGAGUGUAGAGGUGAAAUUCGUAGAUAUUCGGAAGAACACCAGUGGCGAAGGCGGCUUACUGGACGAUUGUUGACGCUGAGGUACGAAAGCGUGGGGAGCAAACA